CUGCGGUGAGCUGAACGCGUAGCGAAUAUCUCUUUCGCCUUUUACUAAAGAGAUCCGCGAGUUUUGCUCCUCAAGCCGCUUCUCUCUCUUUUUGAGGGGCUUUUGCCCUUA
Molecule: non-coding RNA, 111 nt
Organism: Chlamydomonas reinhardtii
Lineage: Eukaryota; Viridiplantae; Chlorophyta; Chlorophyceae; Chlamydomonadales; Chlamydomonadaceae
Source: Rfam